UACGUAGGGGGCAAGCGUUGUCCGGAAUUAUUGGGUGUAAAGGGCGCGUAGGCGGCUUUGCAAGUCAAACGUGAAAUCUGUAAGCUUAACUUACAGUCUGCGUUUGAAACUGCAGGGCUUGAGUGAAGUAGAGGCAAGUGGAAUUUCCAGUGUAGCGGUGAAAUGCGUAGAUAUUGGAAGGAACACCAGUGGCGAAGGCGGCUUGCUGGGCUUUUACUGACGCUGAGGCGCGAAAGCGUGGGUAGCAAAC
RNAcentral lists this ribosomal RNA (250 nucleotides) under uncultured prokaryote. RNAcentral's name for it is "partial 16S ribosomal RNA". It matches the Rfam family "Bacterial small subunit ribosomal RNA", at positions 524 to 773 of the family's 1533-position model. The record is from RNAcentral.